Molecule: ribosomal RNA, 460 nt
Filed under: uncultured bacterium
Lineage: Bacteria
Description: partial 16S ribosomal RNA
Rfam family: Bacterial small subunit ribosomal RNA
Source: RNAcentral
CCUACGGGUGGCAGCAGUGAGGAAUAUUGGUCAAUGGGCGAGAGCCUGAACCAGCCAAGUCGCGUGAAGGAUGACGGCCCUACGGGUUGUAAACUUCUUUUAUAAAGGAAUAAAACGCGGCACGUGUGCCUUUUUGCAUGUACUUUAUGAAUAAGGAUCGGCUAACUCCGUGCCAGCAGCCGCGGUAAUCCGGAGGAUCCGAGCGUUAUCCGGAUUUAGUGGGUUUAAAGGGAGCGUAGAUGGGGGGUUAAGUCAGUUGUGAAAGUUUGCGGCUCAACCGUAAAAUUGCAAUUGAUACUGGCAGGCUUGAGUACAGUUGAGGUAGGCGGAAUUCGUGGUGUAGCGGUGAAAUGCUUAGAUAUCACGAAGAACCCCGAUUGCGAAGGCAGCUUACUAAACUGUGACUGACAUUGAUGCUCGAAAGUGUGGGUAUCAAACAGGAUUAGAUACCCCAGUAGUC